Molecule: small nuclear RNA, 117 nt
Organism: Pseudophryne corroboree (corroboree frog)
Lineage: Eukaryota; Metazoa; Chordata; Amphibia; Anura; Myobatrachidae
Product: U5 spliceosomal RNA
Exons: 1
Source: RefSeq, a predicted model, not a curated record
AGACUCUGGUUUCUCUUCAUAACAAAUAAAUCUUUCGUUUUUUACUAAAGAUUUCUGUGGAGAGGAACAACCGUGAGUUUCAUGUAAUUUUUUUUUUUUUUUUUCAUGCCUGGCUCA